RNAcentral lists this non-coding RNA (30 nucleotides) under Mus musculus (house mouse). The record is from RNAcentral. Lineage: Eukaryota; Metazoa; Chordata; Mammalia; Rodentia; Muridae.
UCCACUAAGAGUCUGUUGCAUUCCCAAGGC